AUAGAACUGGGUUUAACAUGGG
RNAcentral lists this small nuclear RNA (22 nucleotides) under Arabidopsis thaliana (thale cress). Its description in RNAcentral is "snRNA_05483". The record is from RNAcentral. Lineage: Eukaryota; Viridiplantae; Streptophyta; Magnoliopsida; Brassicales; Brassicaceae.